GUAACCCGUUGGGGUUUUCUGUGCUGUGAUAAGGUUUGUUCGUUUGCAUUUGGCGUCUGCGUUGCCUUUAUGAGCUGUAGCGCUCACUGCGAAAAUUGUCACUUUAUUUCUGAAGUGGGUGAGAUGACGAGCCCGGCAGGAGGAACGAAACACUCAUCUGUGAAAGUUGCAACUUCAUUUCUGAAGUAGGUGAGACGACUCUGUGAAAGUUGCAACUUCAUUUCUGAAGUGGAUUUCCCAUUUUGGCCACGCUUCACAUGCGACACAUAUAGAAGUACACAGCAGCUUCCCCCCUUACCUGCAAGGGAUAUGUUCAGAGAUCUCCAGUGGAUGCCUGAAACUAUGGAUAGUACUGAAUCCUAUAUAUACUGUUUUUUUCUAUACAUAUAAUAAAGUUUAUAAAUUAGGUACAGUAAGAGAUUAAAAACUCAAAAUAUGAGUUAAACUCAUAUGCAAUAUAAUAUAUGCAAUAAAAUUGAAAUACUGUCAAACUCUGUAAAGUAUUUGAAGAGAUUUGUUCUGAGCCAAAUGUGAGUGACCGUGGCCUCUGACACAGCCCCUGGAGAUCCUGAGAACACGUGCCCAAGGUGGUGGUGGUCAGGGGGGAGCUUCUGGGUCGCAGGUGGAUUCCAAGAUUUUCUGGUUGAAAGUUCAUCUAAAGACCUGAAAUCAAUAGAAGGGAGUGUGUGGGUUAAGAUAAGGUGUUGUGGAGACCAAGGGUCUUAUUCUGCAGAUGAAGCGAGCAGGCUUCAGAGAGCAUCUAUUGUAAAUGUCUCUUUUCAGACUCUCCUGGAUCAGGAGAAAGACCCGGAAAGGGAAGGAGAUUAUCUACAAAAAUGUAGAUUUUCCCCACAAGAGGCAGCUUUGCAGGGCCAUUUCAAAAUAUGUCAAAGAAAUAUGUUUUGGGGUAAAAUACUUCAAUUUCUUUCAGGGCCCGUUGUCUGUCAUGUUGGUAGCUAAUUGCUAGAUAGAGUCUGUUUUGUCAGCGUUAAGGUCUGUUUUAAUGUAAUGCUGGUCAGCUGUGCCUGAAUUCCAACGGGAGGAAGGUAGAAUGAGGCAUGUCUGAGCCCCUCCUCCCUAUUUCACAUCGUGGCCUGAACUAGUGUUUCAGGUUUACUUUCGAAUGCCUUUGGCUGAGAGGAGGGGUCCAUUUGGUUGGGGGGCUUAGAAUUUUAUUUUUGGGCCAGGCUUGGUGGUUCAUGCCUAUAAUCCCAGCGCUUUGGGACGCUGAGGCGGGCGGAUCACCUGAGGUCGGGAGUUCGAGACCAGCCUGACCAACACAGAGAAACCCUGUCUCUACUAAAAAUACAAAAUUAUCUGGGCGUGGUGGCGCAUGCCUGUAAUCCCAGCUACUCGGAAGGCUGAGGCAGGAGAAUCGCUUGAACCCAGGAGGCGGAGAUUGCGGUGAGCCGAGAUCGCGCCGUUGCACUGCAGCCUGGGCAAUAAGAGUUAAGCUCCAUCUCAAAAAAAAAAAAAAAAAGUAUUUUAUUUUUGGUUUACAAUAACAUACUGUAAUAAAAGUUACGUAAAUAUAGGCCAGGCGCGGUGGCUCACGCCUGUAAUCCUAGCACUUUGGGAGGCUGAGGCCGGCAGAUCACUUGAGGUCAGGAGUUUGAGACCAGCCUGGUCAACAUGGUAAAACCCCAUCUCUACUAAAAAUACAAAAAUUAGCCGGGCGUGGUGGUGCACCCCUGUAAUCCUAACUACUCAGGAGGCUGAGGCAGGAGAAUCUCUUGAACCAGGGAGGUGGAAGUUGCAGUGAGCCAAGAUCACGCUGCACUGCAGCCUGGGGGACAAGAGCGAAACUCCGUCUCAAAAAAAGUUAUGUAAAUAUGAUCUCUCUCUCUCCCUCUCUCUCUCUCACACCCACAGUGCUGUACUCACCUAUUUUUGGACCAUGGGUAACUGAAACACUGGAAAAUGAAACCUUCAAUAACUGGUAACUACUGUGUAGGUGCCAUGUAGGGUUUGUGGACUCCUAAUGAGGAAAAAGGAGUGAGGCUGGCAGGACCAGGGGAAAGCAAAGAGAGAAAGCAGAUAAGCUAUAGGUUCGCUUUUCUUUAUGGCCCAAGACAUAUGGCCCACCUGUGCAAAUAAUGUACGUAACUCACAAACUUCCUGCUUAUCAUCAAACACUUCAACUUAUCAUCAAACACCUCUGCUGACAGAAGAAUGCAAGCGAGCUCCCUACUGCCUUGGCGUUCUCAAUCAGCCGAGAACCAUCCUCUGAAACCCUCAGCAAGCCUUUGUUCCCUUGCACUGAACUCCUCUCUUGCUGAUUCUGCCCAUUUCGACCUUAACGAGGUACAUCAUACUUUCUCUAAUAAAUCUGCCUUUCUUUACCUACAGCUAUCUUGGGAAAUUCUUUUACCCCAGCACCAAUGGCCCUGGUAGGUGCUGCUCACCCGUGACAGGGUUCGCAUACUGAAAAAAACACA
RNAcentral lists this long non-coding RNA (2438 nucleotides) under Homo sapiens (human). RNAcentral's name for it is "HSALNT0331784". Lineage: Eukaryota; Metazoa; Chordata; Mammalia; Primates; Hominidae. The record is from RNAcentral.